GACGAACGCUGGCGGCGUGCUUAACACAUGCAAGUCGAACGGAAAGGCCCUGCUUUUGUGGGGUGCUCGAGUGGCGAACGGGUGAGUAACACGUGAGUAACCUGCCCUUGACUUUGGGAUAACUUCAGGAAACUGGGGCUAAUAUCGGAUAGGAGCUCCUGCUGCAUGGUGGGGGUUGGAAAGUUUCGGCGGUUGGGGAUGGACUCGCGGCUUAUCAGCUUGUUGGUGGGGUAGUGGCUUACCAAGGCUUUGACGGGUAGCCGGCCUGAGAGGGUGACCGGCCACAUUGGGACUGAGAUACGGCCCAGACUCCUACGGGAGGCAGCAGUGGGGAAUAUUGCACAGUGGGCGGAAGCCUGAUGCAGCAACGCCGCGUGCGGGAUGACGGCCUUCGGGGUGUAAACCGCUUUCGCCUGUGACGAAGCGUGAGUGACGGUAAUGGGUAAAGAAGCACCGGCUAACUACGUG
RNAcentral lists this ribosomal RNA (468 nucleotides) under uncultured bacterium. Its description in RNAcentral is "partial 16S ribosomal RNA". It matches the Rfam family "Bacterial small subunit ribosomal RNA", at positions 28 to 507 of the family's 1533-position model. The record is from RNAcentral.